UACGAAGGGGGCUAGCGUUGUUCGGAUUUACUGGGCGUAAAGGGCGCGUAGGCGGCGCGAGAAGUCGAGUGUGAAAGCCCCCGGCUCAACUGGGGAGGGUCACUCGAUACUGAUCGACUCGAAGGCAGGAGAGGGUAGUGGAAUUCCCGGUGUAGUGGUGAAAUGCGUAGAUAUCGGGAGGAACACCAGUGGCGAAGGCGACUACCUGGCCUGUUCUUGACGCUGAGGCGCGAAAGCUAGGGGAGCAAACGGG
Molecule: ribosomal RNA, 253 nt
Filed under: uncultured bacterium
Lineage: Bacteria
Description: partial 16S ribosomal RNA
Rfam family: Bacterial small subunit ribosomal RNA
Source: RNAcentral